RNAcentral lists this ribosomal RNA (674 nucleotides) under uncultured bacterium. RNAcentral describes it as "bacterial SSU rRNA". It matches the Rfam family "Bacterial small subunit ribosomal RNA", at positions 138 to 807 of the family's 1533-position model. The record is from RNAcentral.
GGGGGAUAAGCGGAAGAAAUUCCGUCUAAUACCGCGUAACAACCCAUGGAGGCAUCUCUGUGGGUUUAAAGGAAGCGAUUCCGGCUACGGAUGGUCAUGCGUCGCAUUAGCUUGUUGGCGGGGUAACGGCCCACCAAGGCGACGAUGCGUAGGGGUUCUGAGAGGAAGGUCCCCCACACUGGUACUGAGACACGGACCAGACUCCUACGGGAGGCAGCAGUGAGGAAUAUUGGUCAAUGGCCGCAGGGCUGAACCAGCCAAGUCGCGUGAGGGAUGACGGUCCUAUGGAUUGUAAACCUCUUUUGUCAGGGAGCAAAGGGCGCCACGUGUGGCGCUUUGCGAGUACCUGAAGAAAAAGCAUCGGCUAACUCCGUGCCAGCAGCCGCGGUAAUACGGAGGAUGCGAGCGUUAUCCGGAUUUAUUGGGUUUAAAGGGUGCGCAGGCGGAAUGUCAAGUCAGCGGUAAAAUUUCGGGGCUCAACCCCGUCGUGCCGUUGAAACUGGCGUUCUUGAGUGAGCGAGAAGUAUGCGGAAUGCGUGGUGUAGCGGUGAAAUGCAUAGAUAUCACGCAGAACUCCGAUUGCGAAGGCAGCAUACCGGCGCUCAACUGACGCUCAUGCACGAAAGCGUGGGUAUCGAACAGGAUUAGAUAUCCUGGUAGUCCACGCAGUAAAC